Long non-coding RNA from Tachysurus fulvidraco (yellow catfish), 544 nucleotides. RefSeq lists it as uncharacterized. The transcript has 2 exons. NCBI's taxonomy places the organism in Eukaryota, Metazoa, Chordata, Actinopteri, Siluriformes, Bagridae. The record is from RefSeq and is a predicted model, not a curated record.
GCUCUGCAGGUUUAAAACUCCAGCUGUUGAUUAAACAAUGCCAGCGCGUCACAGGAGCAGGUGAUGGCACCAAUUACCGGGUAAUUACCUGAGUAAUUAUGCAGACGCAGACCCGGAAGACAGGAAGUGCUUGUGUGUGGAAUCUCCAUGGAUGGGAAGACGAGGUUUGAGAGAUGCCUGCUUCCUUUCGCUCGGGCGUGCGCUCUCCGAUGCCCAGUGUGUUUAAAGGUCACAGGAUAAACACAGUCGACAACUGAUGCUCUGCUCGCAGCAGCGACGCACCUCACCGGUCUUCUCGGCGUCAAUAAUGCAGGAGCCGAGCACGUCCUGAGCACGGAAUAAAUAAUCCAUAGGCACACGCUGUUCGGGCAGGAGAUGAUGGCGUGCUUAUCGAAAAGAGCUUCCCAUAGCAAUGUGACUGAUUUAUUAACAUCAAUCACUCGAGAUUUCUGACAGCGGGCCGAAUUUCAGAUCGGGGUAAACAAGUGGAUGGAUGUAGCAGGAGUUAUAUACGGUGUAUGUAAUAAAAAUAUAGUUCAAGUCA